Molecule: ribosomal RNA, 348 nt
Filed under: uncultured bacterium
Lineage: Bacteria
Description: bacterial SSU rRNA
Rfam family: Bacterial small subunit ribosomal RNA
Source: RNAcentral
AAUCCUAUUUUGCUUCAUGGCGAGAUGUUGAAAGACGGGUUUCGGCUGUCACUACAAGAUGGGCCCGCGGCGCAUUAGCUAGUUGGUAGGGUAAUGGCCUACCAAGGCGACGAUGCGUAGCCGACCUGAGAGGGUGAUCGGCCACACUGGGACUGAGACACGGCCCAGACUCCUACGGGAGGCAGCAGUAGGGAAUCUUCCACAAUGGACGAAAGUCUGAUGGAGCAACGCCGCGUGAGUGAAGAAGGUUUUCGGAUCGUAAAACUCUGUUGUAAGGGAAGAACACGUACGAGAGUAACUGCUCGUACCUUGACGGUACCUUAUUAGAAAGCCACGGCUAACUACGUG